GCCCAGGUGCGCCGGCCCUGCCCCGCCCCUCCCCGCCCUUUCGCCUGAGAACUCCGCCUGGGACCUGGCCCCCUCGGAUCUCCCACUCGGGACCCAGGAGUCUUCCUCGGCACCGUGGGCACCGGCUCAUCCACAGGAACUGUUUUGGCCAAGGAACUUCAAAAUAGGCACGCUACAAGGCAAACACCAUGAGGCAGAACUGCUUUGCGCUGACCCUUCUUGGCACACGCAUCCUUAAAGGACGAAGGGAGACAACUUUUGUUGGUUAUGAUCGGUGUUGAGUAGAGUAGCUGCAAGUCUGGUGACCUGAAGGCAGCACAGAUCCUCCAUGAGAAGAAAAACAGAUGGGAUGGCAGCAUUUUGUGGCUGUCUUCUGGAGCAUUUACUAGAGAAUUCACGGCUCCUUAUAGUUACUGACGGGUACGCAUUUGGAUGAAUUUUCUGCCAUGACAACAGAAUCAUCUGAGAGGCUCUGCUCUGGGAAGCCAGCUCCUGAGGCCAGGCGUCAGCAAAUUGCAGCUCCCAGGCCAAAUCCAGCCUACUGCUUCUUGUUGUUGUUUUUAAAUAAAGUUUUAUUUAUAGAUUG
Molecule: non-coding RNA, 586 nt
Organism: Macaca mulatta (Rhesus monkey)
Lineage: Eukaryota; Metazoa; Chordata; Mammalia; Primates; Cercopithecidae
Source: RefSeq, a predicted model, not a curated record